UUUCAAGUCUGUGUAUACUGUGUCUUUUAGAGUUAGCUCAGUUUGCCCAGUUUUACUACUUUACCUGCUUCUGAUGACUCAUUGUGUCUUGCUGCCACAGAGGAAAUAAAUUCCUGAUGACUGAAAUCGAUUUGACUGCAUCUCCCCAGCGUGUUAAGAGACCAGGGUCCAGGCCAUUUGUCAUGCUGCCAAUAAUUACCGGAAACACUAAAUGUCAUGGUGAGGAGCUCAAACAGACAAAAAGAGCCAAACAGGGGAAAGUGCUGACAAGGUAAUUGGAGCUGCCUGAGGCCACAGCUGAGCGCUGAGAGGACAGUAGGCAAUGAGACAGAAGAGGUCACUGGAGCCGCCUGAGGCUACAGCUUAGCACCGUGAGCACAAUUGCCAGAGAAUGAGGCUGACCACGCCAUUGGAGCUGCCAGAAGUCACAGUUUUCAACAACAUUUGGACACAGGUCAACACCGUAUGGCCAGUCAGCAGUGGAAAAGAUCAGACAGGACUAGAAAGAAGGAUAGAAACUUCAGAAGAGCGUGGACAGCUCCACAAGAAGUCACAAAUGCAGUUCAAUUUCAUACACCUAAGAUGGAUUUAGUCUGCAUUUCCUGCAAUGCUGUCAUGUUCCCUUAGGAGAUGUCAAAAGCUCAUGGUGAUCACAAAUCCUUCAGUGCCUGUUGCAACUACGGAAGAAUAUUCAAAGACCCUACUGACACCAUCAGCAGUCUGUCCUGACAGUGGAAACAAGCCAACAUUUUCUCAGAUCUUUGUCUUUGAUCAAGACAAUGAACUUAAGAACAGACUUCACCGGGCAAAGGGUGAUGGAGUUGUUAAUGCAAACUUUGCAUUAACAACAAAUGCAACUUUGACCUUGAUUCAGGACAAGUUGAAGACUGUCAGUCCUUUGGUAAGGUAAAGAGCAAAGCAAGUACCUUCACAGCAAACCCCAGUAAGGACGUCAGGAUGGUGUUUAAGGCAAAGAGCGAGAUUCUGUAGGGACAAACAGGGAUCAAAGGGUCUUCCCACCAAGGAUUCCUCACCAUGACAGAAAUGAUGAGCUUCCCUUCACCUUUGUCAGACGACAGUUUCCUGUCGGCUGGCUUUCUCAGUUACCAUCAACAAAGGUUGAUUAGACCUUUGCUCAGGUUGAAGUCCAUGCAGUCCUGAGAAGAGGUCUGUCUAAUCACGCAGUUAAGUGAAAACACCUGUGUAGGUGGACCAUGGGUGUGUUGGGUGAUUAAUUCACUAAAUAAAGUACUCAUUACAAAAAUGUUUUUUGUAAUGUACUAGUACUGGUUAUACAGAGUUUCUUACAGGAUAUGAGUGCUGUAUGAGUUCACUACAACUUUUAACAUAUGAGGUAUAUCAAAAUUGCAAUCGAUCACCAGAGUAUGUCACAUUUUUAAAUGUGUUUCACCUCCUUGUUGUUGGUAAUCAGGGAAAAUGUCAUCAGAUAACAUCCGAUCAUGUAAAAUUUACUGUAGUUUGACCAAGUAUACCCAACUCCAGUCACAGAAAAUGUGACAUUUUAGGGCUUCACGCUACUUGACAGUACAGGUGGAUAUAACAAAGACUUGUUGAAUAGCACCAUUAAAGAUUUCAGCUCUCAGUGACAAGUUUAACUGCACACUAAUUGUUAACACUCAGUGGGGGAAAAAAGUAAUCAAACCAGAAGUUUUACUAUGCCCUCAAGUGCUUGUGAUUGAUAAACUCUGCUGGGAAAUUAAGAAUCACAAUCUGUGACAUCAAGUGCAAUACUAGCUCCUGCAGAAUAGAGCUGUUGUCAUUCAGACUACUGCCAUUCUGGAUUUAAGAUAAGAUAUAGGAGCCUGUUUUCUGCCUUUUCUCCCCCUUGGGUUCACUUUUCUUGAAUCUGUAAUGAAGUCUAGUCAUACCCUGCAAUAUCUUAAACUGAUUAUUGAAAAAAAGUGCUGAAAAAGUCUGAAAAAGUCAAUUUAUAAAGUAACAAGUAGCUUUUGUCAGCUUCACUCAGUCAAAAUGUUCUGUAUCUGCUUCAUAGAAAAAUAUUUCAGCUUUCCCUCUGUUAGAGGAAAAACCUGCCUGAUGUUUUACUGCUCAGAUAUAGGAAAUGUAAACUGGGCUUUGGCCUGAUUCAUGGCACAAGAAUCUGCAAGAGCAAGUAUUGAUUAAUAUUAGGAGGAUGAUGUGGUGGAGAGAGUAAUGAGAAUGUGAACAGUAUGAAGCAGGUAGAACCUGGAGGUCCACCAUGUCUGCAUGUGAUUAGUUUGUUUGUAUCUUUUGACAGCCUAAGUUAACAUGCUGUGUAAAAACUCUAUCUUAGAGUUAAUUUGAACCAUUUAGAUAUACAUAUAACUCUGAUAAUUCAUUCUUCAGGCGCUUUGUUGUUUUUUUUUAUCCAGGGCUUUGUUAAAAAAAAAGGCCCAAAUUGGAUUGAUUUUACCCAAACACGUCUUGGUGCCUGUUUAAACAGUCCAGAAGCUAUUUGGAGUUUGUUAUUCAGAUUCCCUCUUCACAUUUCUCAUUUGCACAAACAACAGAUUCUAAAUGAGGCUUAAAGCAAACUAAACCUCCACCAAAGGCAUCCUUUUGCCAGGUAAUCUCCAGUGCAUGUACAUAUGUGUGUGUCUUGUCUGUCAAGUAUCAAGUAUGAGUAUAUAAUUCAUCUCUUUCAUCUGGCAUCACAAACACACUGAUAAUUAGGCUGGUACACACACACACUCUCUCUCACACACACACCUAAUACAGGCUGAUUGGAAGUGUGCUCUUGUAUACACCCAAAGGCUCUUGUGCACCUGCUACUGCAGGAAAUGAGAACAGACACACAUACACACAGACUACAAGCUAGCGGAUGCAAAAUGUGCAGAAGUGUCUGCAUGCAAGCACAUACUCAAACACACACACAUGCUGGAGAUUACCUGGCUCCAGGAUGUUAUUGGCAGUUGUUUUGUUUGCAAACUCAUUUAGAAUUUGUUAUUUCUAUAAACUGGCCAAGUACUUACAGUCAAGAUUUGCAAAAGACUGAGACCCAAUGCUUCUUUCUCGAUUCAAUUCAAUUUAGGUCAAAUUAUUCAGUAUUUUAUACUAGCAUGAAAGGUAAUAUCAGUAUUAGUAAACCAACAACGAGAUACAGGUGACAUGGUGUUUUGUAUAGGUGUAUAUUAAAAUCAUAGACUGUAUAUAAAGACGGACAGAGCAAGGUUUGAAGCCCAUAGUUCAUAGUGCAGUAAUUCCCAAAAAGACCACCAUUGCCCCCAUAUUUAGUCUGUAGGACCCAUAUUUAGCAAUUGAGACCAUAAUGAUUUGUUGAAAAAAGUGACUGACUUAGUUAUUCUAGAGAGACGUUUACACUUUUUGAGAAUCCCUGUCAUGCCCUCCACUUCUGCCUCCUCCUAGUGUGUGUGUGUGUGUGGGUGUGUCUCUCUGUCUCUCGUGUCUGUGUCCAAAUUGCAAUAGUGGAGACAGGUGUGUGGGAGUCGGGCGAACAGCUGCCAUCCAUCAGGAGUUCUGCUUAAAUAGUGGGUGCAACCUCCUACUCACCGCCAGAUCGUAGACUCUGUUCAUACAAAGACCUCAGCCUGACCCUGGCUCUGUCUCCAGUCCUCCUGCCUCACCUGCACAGCCCAUCGCUCUGCCUGGCUCCCCGCUCCAACCCCUAUACCCAGCCCCCAGGUUCCCCAGCUACUAGCCCAGACCUUGGCCCCAGCCUCUCAGUUCACCGCCUUGCAAAUAAAAUCCUUUUCCAACUCUA
Molecule: long non-coding RNA, 3724 nt
Organism: Thunnus maccoyii (southern bluefin tuna)
Lineage: Eukaryota; Metazoa; Chordata; Actinopteri; Scombriformes; Scombridae
Exons: 7
Source: RefSeq, a predicted model, not a curated record